RNAcentral lists this unclassified non-coding RNA (299 nucleotides) under uncultured Xanthoporus. RNAcentral describes it as "partial contains 5.8S ribosomal RNA, internal transcribed spacer 2, and large subunit ribosomal RNA". Lineage: Eukaryota; Fungi; Basidiomycota; Agaricomycetes; Polyporales; Steccherinaceae. The record is from RNAcentral.
AACGCACCUUGCACUCUGUGGUUAUUCCGCAGAGUAUGUUUGUUUGAGUGUCGCGAUACUUCUCAACCCCGCUUCAUUAACUUGAAGUAGUUUGGGCUUGGAUCAUGGUCGUUGCCGGCUUAGGCCAGGCUCGAUUGAAAUACAACAAGCUGGAUGAUGCCAUUAGCGGCUUGAACUUAACGUUGUAAUUAUAAUCGUUAGGCUACGCUUUUGGAGUGUUCAAUGAGCUUACCAAUUCAUUAAAGAACUUUAUUGUUCAAUUUGACCUCAAAUCAAGCAGGACUACCCGCUGAACUUAA